Molecule: ribosomal RNA, 520 nt
Filed under: uncultured Entrophospora
Lineage: Eukaryota; Fungi; Glomeromycota; Glomeromycetes; Entrophosporales; Entrophosporaceae
Description: SSU rRNA
Rfam family: Eukaryotic small subunit ribosomal RNA
Source: RNAcentral
AGCAGCCGCGGUAAUUCCAGCUCCAAUAGCGUAUAUUAAAGUUGUUGCAGUUAAAAAGCUCGUAGUUGAAUUUCGGGAUUGACACAUCGGUCGUGCCUUAAGGGGUAUGAACUGGUGUAGUCAAUUUCUCACCUUCUGGAGAACCGCGAUGCCCUUAAUUGGGUGUCGCGGGGAACCAGGACCUUUACUUUGAAAAAUUAGAGUGUUUAAAGCAGGCAUUUUGCUUGAAUACAUUAGCAUGGAAUAAUAAAAUAGGACGGCAUGAUUCUAUUUUGUUGGUUUCUAGGAUCACCGUAAUGAUUAAUAGGGAUAGUUGGGGGCAUUAGUAUUCAAUUGUCAGAGGUGAAAUUCUUGGGAUUUAUUGAAGACUAACUACUGCGAAAGCAUUUGCCAAGGAUGUUUUCAUUAAUCAAGAACGAAAGUUAGGGGAUCGAAGACGAUCAGAUACCGUCGUAGUCUUAACCAUAAACUAUGCCGACUAGGAAUCAGACGAUGUUAAUUUUUAAUGUACUCGUUUGGC